AAGAAAGAUAUACGAAAGAAGAAGAAAAAGGAGAAUCCAAGGCGUGAAAGGGAUAGAGGCGGGAGACAGAGAAGACUUGAAAAAGUGGGAAAUAAAAUAAUAAGAUAGAGAGGAGAAAGCAGCUGGCAGAGACGAAAUUGGGGGGGGGGGGAGAGAUGGAGCUGCCUUUGGCAGCACGGGGUCAGAGAGGAUAGAGAUACGUGAGGGAAGCAAAUAAGAAAGAAGAAAGAAAAAAAAGUGAGGGACUGACAGAAAAGCAGAGGGCUGCCCUUUGGGCAGCGUGAGGCUGCGCAGAAAUAAAAGGGACAGUGCGGCAUGGCAGGAGAGAAGUGACGCAGGGAGUGAGGGCAGAAGCACAGAAACGCAGCAGAUCUUAUUCUCUCGGUUAAAUCUUUCCAACUUAUGAUUAAUUUUUUGUUUAAUUUUAGAAUAAUGUGUAGCUAAAUUUAUUUUGGCUAGAGGUUAAUUCAAAGCCAUGAAUAUAUUUGUAAUAUGAAUUGAUUACCUUCGGUUGUGAUUUCAUAAGUUGUGAUUUCAAUUUACUUAUCCGUUCGUAUAAAAACUGAUUUGUGUAUGUUGGUUGAGAGUGCACGCUUAAUUUACAUGCAUGAAUUUGAUGCUAGAAUAUAAGUGAAUUUCACCUAAUCGUUAUGAACUUAUUUUCACAAGUAGUAAAGGUUGCUAGUCACAAUCACGUUAAGUAAAUUCUUGGCAAGAGUAUCAUGCUUUUCAUAGUUACGAAUGCAUCGUCAAUGCUUAUAGUUUUCACAAAGUUUAAUGAUCUUUGAUUGUAUCUCUAUUGUGCUUUUCACGUAGGGGACUUUUGAAGAAUGUUUUGAAUUGUUGUAUGCGUUUUCCCGUCCAAUUCAAUAACUUAAGGAAAACUUGAAGAUUAAAAAAGUGCUGUUCACGGUUAAUCUGGAGUAUUGAGAUUCACAAUUUUAUUGAAAGAACAACUGAAAAUCAAUUUAGGUUGCAUAUGUGUCAUGUGUGUGGAGAAGAACCCUCUAGCUAGUCCGUCAUUUAUCAUUUUACCUUAAUUUUAUGUUUUGUCAAUUCUGUAAUUUAAUUAAGUUUAAUUUACUUUUCAUCAAAACCAAACACCUAUCCAUUAUUAAAUUAUUUUAUUUAUUUAGUUUUCUUUAUUGUUAGUCUUUUAAUUUAAUUUCCGUCCAUUUCAGUUCCUAGUGUUUAAUUUGAUUGUUUUCAUUAUUUUGAGUUAUCCUAAGUGUGUUUCGAGUUAUUAGAGUUUUUAGCCUAGUUUUGUGUCCUUGAGUCUUAUUUAAUAUUUUUAAAUUAAUUUAGAAUAGAUUAGCAAUCCCUCCUAAUCCCCGGCCUAGAACGAUACCCUACUUACAUCCAUACUACAAUUGUCAAAAAGAGGGUUUAAUUUGUGUGUCAAGAAAUUCUCACAUCAAAUUUUGGCGCCGUUGCCGGGGAUUAGUAACUUUGCUAAUCCUUUUAUUUUUGUUUUUGUUUAUGUUUAUAUUGGUGUUUGUGUAUUUUACUUUUGAUAUUUGAUUUAUUUUUCUUUCUUUGAUUUUAGGCACAAAUGGAGCUGAGGGAAAUUUAAAGGAAAGAUGCGUCCGGCUAAAGACGUUAAAUCAAGCGCUUCUUGGGAGGCAACCAAGCAUUCAACGAAGGGAGACUUUGGAAUCGCUAACCCAAUCAGAUUUGCAUUUUUACACCCUUAUCUUUACUGCUUUCAUUUUGUUUUGUUUAGUUAGUUGUGUUAUUUGUUUGAUUUCUGUGAGUUUGUGUUAUUUAGUUUAAGUGUGGGGGAAGGUUAACCAAAGUCUUUCUACUUUAAUUUACAUAAAAAAAAAAAAAAAAAAAAAAUUUAAAAAAAUGAUAUAAAAAAAAAAAAAAAAAAAAAAAGAUAAAAUUUAAAAUUAAUGAUAAAAAAAAGUACAUAAAAAAAAAUAAUAAAAAAAAAAAAAAUAAAUAAAUAAUAAUAAUAAAAAAAGUACAAAUAUUUUACAAUGAUGUAAACUAAUAGUAUUCAUUGGUCGGGUGGUGCUUCAGUAGUAGGCGGGGCUUCAGCAGUCGGCGGGACCACAGAAGGAGGAGGCGGCAGAGGUUGAUCAGUUGGAGCUUCACUACGCGGUGCCGCUCCAGAAGACGAAGGCAGAUGUUGUUGGAACAAACCCACAAACCUCCGAUGAUCAAGUAAAAUUUGACCAUCGGUGUCCUGCAUCUGGUCAAUCUUCCUCUUCAUGCUGGUGGCAUAGCUGUGUGCGAGCUUGUGCAAUUUCCUUAUUCUCAUGCUUGAGCCCUUUAAUCUCUUGCUUGAGACUCUGUAUUUCAGCCACCAAGGAUUCAACGUGACGGGUUCGGGCAUAUAGGCGUUGGGCCAUGUUGGAUACGGAACCCGCACACUGCACACUGAGAGCCAGAGACUCCUUGACCGCCAAUUCAUCAGACCGCCUUGCGAGCAGUCUGUUAUCUCUGGGAGUGACAAGGUUUCGGGCCACCACCGCAGCGGUCAUGUCAUUUUUUUCAUCAUCGAAUCCCCCACGGUAAGGGGACCGGUAGGGGAUAUGAAGGAUGGCCGCCAUAUGUUGUCUGGUGAAGGCGGAGCUGCCUCUUCACCAAUGUUCAAGUCAAAACGACGAUCAGAAGGGCCAGACAUUUUUCAGAGGUGGUAAAGAAAGAAGAGAGUCGGAUGAUCAAGAUUAAACAAGUGCAAGAAGGGAGUGUUUACAGGAGGGUAGCUCAAGUGUGUUGUGGAACAAAAUUAACGCCUCUAUAAAAAGAAGAAAUCAAAGAGGCGCUCCUCAGAGAUGCGUCCUCUCGCAAAUCGAAGAGUCGGGGCUCCUUUCUCAAAAGCCGGAUUCUUUUCUCAAAAGAGGAGUUUCCGUUCUCAAAAGCCGGAUUCUUUUCUCAAAAGAGGCGUUUCAUUUCUUAAAAGUUGGGCUUGCUCAGAAACCACGAGCCGAACCCCGGAUUUCGCAAGAUCAAUUCGUCCAGACGUGUUGUCACCCGUCACACGCAAACUCAGCUCUGCGAAAAUCACGAGCAGUCUGUCGAAGUGCCGAUUCCAACCAUCUGUCUCUCUCUCAGCCUAGUCAGCACUUGUCACAUGCAACUGGCAGCUUUGCGGAAAUUACGGGCAGCUUUGUCAGAAAGCGCGUAAUUUUGUAUUCUUCACCCAUCCACCGGCUGCCGACACUAAGUGAGAGAAACAGUUCCGGUUGUGAAGACAAGUCCUAUAAGUUUCUACCUUCGCCUUCCACAGCAAAAGCACACUCUCUCAGCACACCCUCUCAACACCUCUUCAUCUCCGAAAAUGCAUUCCCAAAGAAUCCUCUCGAGUCACUCUGUGUUCCUCAUUCCUUGGGAUACUCCUGCGAACAACCCAUUCAAAGCAAAAGUAUUUCAUAUCAUAAAGGUUGAAAGCAAGAGUAUCUCAUAUCAUGCUUUCUCCAUGUCCUUCUCCUUGUCUUUGUUUUCCGACAAGGAGAAAGAGAGCAAUCAGCCAGCAUUUGGUAUCAAUCUUCCGAUCUGGAGCCAACUGCCUGGAACCCCUUCCUGAUUGCUUACCUAGCCUUGCUCUCGAGUACUCAUCUUCAUCAUUUUAUGCUUUCUCUUCGUCUACCACAUCUGCCUGGGGGACAGUAAGGGAAGUGAAAAUGAUACCUCGAAGCAUGUGGAGACAAUUCAGCUAGGGACAAGGAGAAAGAAAGCAAGAGGUGGGCACUUGGAAAGAUUGAAGAAAGAAAAUAAGGACCAACACCUUUCCCUCGUGCCUGCCCGUUGUGCAGAAGAAACAAGCAGAGAAGAAUGCAGCUUGCACAAUCAUCCCAGCGGAAGGAGUCCGAACUGAGGAACUAGAGAAGCUGCCACAUCUGCUUGGAGAACAAAUAAGGAACUGCAACAUAACCAAAGAGCAAAGCUUCGCCGUACAAUAUCAUAAAAUCAUCACUUGCAAGUGAAAAGCUAAGUGUCACCCUGUUCAAGAGGAAAGCUGUGGAAAGUCAACAAGCACGACCAAUGAUUACUUAUUAGUUUUAUUCAUUAUCUUUUAUCGUAAUUUUCAAUUUUUCGUUUGCAAUUUUUUUUUAAUUAAUUUUCUUGCGUACUUAACUGAAUUAUUUCUUUUCUUUGCAGGAACUUUUGGUUAUUUCCACCCUUGAAGUUGAUUGCAGAAUUUUAGCUUGGGGGUCAUCGCUUGAUUUUACUGCAAAUUAGGGAAGUUUUCAGUCCAAUUGCUUUAUUUUUUUUUUUAUUAUUUUGUUUAUUUUAUUUAUUUUUUGCAUUAUAGUGUUUUCUGACAUUGGGGACAAUGUCAAGUUUAAGUGUGGGGGUAGAAAUCUCCAGAAUUUCAUUUGUCUCUGUGUUGUUGUUUUUUUUUGUGUUCUUAAUUAGUUUUGUUUUCUUUAAAAAAAAAAAAAAAAAUUAAAAAAAAUUUCGGAAAAUUUAAAAAUCCAAAAAUAUUGUCUUGUUUCCCUUAUUGUUUUGAAUUAGAUUUUUGUUAGUUUCCCGACCCAAUGAUAUAAUUAGAUCAAAUUUGAAUCACGAUUAUCAAGAACUUAGUUAACAUGUGUUUUAUGAAAUUCCUAAUUCUCUUGUUAGUUUUGUACAUGUUUGAUCAUCUUUGAAAAACCAAAUGCACAUAGCCUUGUUGAUGUGAAACUAAAGUAUGACUUAAAGCUUCAUAUGUGAAUUUAGUGACCAUAUACAUCCUAUGUGAGUUUUUGAGCCGAUUGAAAGUGUGUGCAUUUUUCAUACACUCCUAUUCUUUCAUGUGUGAUGAACUUAUGUGAGAUACAUCUCUAGAACUUGCGUAACGAUCUUUCGAAAUGUUUGUCAUUGAUUGCAUGAACUUGGAAAUGAUAGAGGCAUUAGGUUUACCACCAUGGCCCAAAUAACCAUGUUUCCCAAAGAAAAAUGAUAUCAUUAGAUUGCCAAUUUGAGCCGUGUAUGUUGAGCCUUUUAUUUCUUAUCACCAGAUAUGUCUACCCUUAUACCUGAAACAUUUUUCCUUACCCUUUCCAAGCGAGCAAUGCGAAAUUGUCUUAUGAGAAACGUUUGUGAAGUACUUUGAAGGUGUUUGGCAAAAGAAUAAGUGUGGGGGUAUUUCAUGUUUGUAAAAAAAAAAAAAAAAAAGGGAAAAAAGAGAAGAAAAGAAAAAGAAAAAAGAAAAAUUGUACACAAAGAAAAUAAAAAGUUGUUCAAGUUUCAGUUUAAGGGUAUGGUUGGAGGUGCUAGAAGAAUUGUUGGAGAGCUUGAGUUCUUAUAAAUCUAAAGAGAAAAAUUGCUUGCAAUGUAGCUUGGAAUUUGUGUUUCCUAUUCUUUCGUUUCAAUAACCCUAUCCCUAAGCCUCAUUACAUCCAAUAAAAGUCCUCUUGAUUUAAGUUUUGCAAUUAUGACUGUGGAGAAGUGAUCUUUAUGCAAGCUUAUGGUAGAAAUUUCACAUUUGUUUCUUUGAGCGAAACACACUAAAACUAAACACAUAUGUGAUUGAGUGUAUAUCCCGUGAGAAGGUUACUAGUUUGCAUAUGAUGAUUUUAAAAAUAAAAACUUGAAAUUGCAUUAGCAUGGCUAUCUCACACACUACACUUCAAGGAUGAUUCAAAGAUUACUGCUAAUAUUUGAAUAAGGAAGAUGAACUUGGAUUAGUUCCUUGAUGCUAGCUAUGGUUCUUGAUGAUUUGUUUUCUUGAAUGAAAUUCUAUGAGGGUCACAUAGAGGGAAGCUAAUGUUUUUCAUGUUAUUACUUUUUCAUGUUUUCUUUGUUUUGCUCGAGGACUAGCAAAAGUUAAGUGUGGGGGUAUUUGAUCGGAUCAUAUUUAUAUAUAUUUUUACUUCGAAUUCACUCGUCUUUUCUUAGUUAGUUCCUUAUAUUUUUGAGCUAUUUACGUUAUUUUUGUGUUUAUAGGAUUUGUUAUGCAAAGAAAAUAAAAAUAGAACAAAUGAAAUUUUAUGUAAUAAAUUCGUCAAAAAUGUCUGUGUAGAUCAGCUUUUAAAUUAAAUUAAAAAAUAUAUAUAUAUAUAAUAAUGAUAAAUCAUGAUGAUGUUUGAAACAUCAUCAUGAUGGUUUUGUUUUUUGUAGAAGAAAAGAAAGGAACGGAUGGAGAAGAAGAAAAGAAAGGAAUAAAAAAAGAAAAGAAGGAAUAAAAAAAAUUAAAAGAAGAAUAAGUGAGUCCACACAUGAGGGAUCCAAAGAAAGAUAUACGAAAGAAGAAGAAAAAAAAGGAGAAUCCAAGGCGUGAAAGGGAUAGAGGCGGGAGACAGAGAAGACUUGAAAAAGUGGGAAAUAAAAUAAUAAGAUAGAGAGGAGAAAGCAGCUGGCAGAGACGAAAUUGGGGGGGGGGGGGAGAGAUGGAGCUGCCUUUGGCAGCACGGGGUCAGAGAGGAUAGAGAUACGUGAGGGAAAGCAAAUAAGAAAGAAGAAGAAAAAAAAAGUGAGGGACUGACAGAAAAGCAGAGGGCUGCCCUUUGGGCAGCGUGAGGCUGCGCAGAAAUAAAAGGGACAGUGCGGCAUGGCAGGAGAGAAGUGACGCAGGGAGUGAGGGCAGAAGCACAGAAACGCAGCAGAUCUUAUUCUCUCGGUUAAAUCUUUCCAACUUAUGAUUAAUUUUUUGUUUAAUUUUAGAAUAAUGUGUAGCUAAAUUUAUUUUGGCUAGAGGUUAAUUCAAAGCCAUGAAUAUAUUUGUAAUAUGAAUUGAUUACCUUCGGUUGUGAUUUCAUAAGUUGUGAUUUCAAUUUACUUAUCCGUUCGUAUAAAAACUGAUUUGUGUAUGUUGG
RNAcentral lists this long non-coding RNA (6749 nucleotides) under Malus domestica (apple). Its description in RNAcentral is "long non-coding RNA (MDOM_LNC008678)". The record is from RNAcentral. Lineage: Eukaryota; Viridiplantae; Streptophyta; Magnoliopsida; Rosales; Rosaceae.